CUUAUAUUUUUACACCUUAUUACUGUCCUUUAUCCUCUACCAUAGAACCAAAAGUCAACAACGACACACACACACACACACCUAUUUCGUCCACAUGUGUUAAUACAACUGCCUUCUUACAAGCUGUACAUGUGUCAUUAAAAAUCACUUCUCUUGUUGUAACAUUAUGUAAUACAACAAACAAAGGCAGAAAAGGGAAUGGUAUGACACACUGUUAGGAGGUGCUGAAACCACUAUGGGUAUACGAAAUAGUUAUAGAUAUGGAGACCCUCAAGAAUAAGUUAAAUACGGCCAGCAUGCAUAUAGGGACUGGUUUCCAUGCUACUGCAAACUGGGCUCCAAUUGUUGUUAAAUCACAGGUUAUAGGAUUGGAUUUAGAUAAAUCAAUGUAUAAUUAUUUAGAUAAUUUAACUGUUGCAACUAUGAAAUUCACUACAGGUCUAAGUAACUGGAGUACUUGUGCCAUCAGGUAUUUAUGGAUACAACAACAAGGAUUGGCAUUAGAAGACACACUAAUGAUUCCUAAACUAGAGAAGAUUAGAGGAAAGCGUAACCUCACAGAUAAUGAAUGGUUACUUCUAAAACCCCAAUCCACUAAAUGCAAUGGAUGGUUAACUGGUAAUGUUUCACAUUUUUCAUGCUCUUGCUAUUUUACAUUAUAUCAUACAUCAUCAAAGGAUGUUAAAUUAGCUUGUCAAUUUAACACAUUACCAGUACCAGUUUAUGAUCUUUUUGCCAAGAAUUUAACCUGGUUGGCACCCACAUACACAGGGGACUAUAUUUUUCCCAAAGAUAACACACACAGGUAGCCACACAUAUCCUAAAAGGAGAACUCCUUAAGGUGAGUUCACAAAUUCAGAAUGAUUUAGCCCAUCAUUGGUACAAUGCUUUACUGGUUGGUCCCCUACUGGAUCCCAGAUAAUGAAAUCAUUCUUCUAUCAUUUUGUUAUUAUAGUCCUGAUUUUAUUGUGUAUGAUUUUAUAUAACUGUCACCUUAGUUGUACAUUGAGGAAGUGAGUACAGAAAUUAAUCCAUAAUGCAGAACAGAAACAAUUAGAAAUUCUCCUCUCUGCCACUGGAGGGUAUCAACCCAUCUUUAAACUAGGCCUUAGGAAUUACCACAUGGGAAUCGAGGUGAAGAAAUUAAUGAAAGUCCCGCAGGGAGUGACUAGCACCCCUGAAAAUACCAUGUGGAAGUUUCUCUGUCCUGUUAAGAUUUUAUCGAUAAGAUGAGCAAUUUUUUUAUUGCUCAAAGAGGGGAAUGUAAGAAUAUGAAAUAGUUAACUUGUUCAUAUGUAUUUUAUGCUUUUAUAAGGUUUAUAAAUAUUAUUGCUGACUGAAAGGAUAUGAAAUAGUUCAACUCAAUUUACGACAUAAUAUGCU
Non-coding RNA from Pelobates cultripes (western spadefoot toad), 1383 nucleotides. The record is from the annotation of a GenBank genome assembly. NCBI's taxonomy places the organism in Eukaryota, Metazoa, Chordata, Amphibia, Anura, Pelobatidae.